Molecule: ribosomal RNA, 497 nt
Filed under: uncultured bacterium
Lineage: Bacteria
Description: partial 16S ribosomal RNA
Rfam family: Bacterial small subunit ribosomal RNA
Source: RNAcentral
GAUGAACGCUGGCGGCGUGCCUAAUACAUGCAAGUCGAGCGAACAGACGCUGAUCUUGCUCCUCUGACGUUAGCGGCGGACGGGUGAGUAACACGUGUAUAACCUACCUAUAUGACUGGGAUAACUUCGGGAAACCGGAGCUAAUACCGGAUAAUAUAUUGAACCGCAUGGUUCAAUAGUGAAAGACGGUUUUGCUGUCACUUAUAGAUGGAUCCGCGCCGCUUUAGAUAGUUGGUAAGCUAACGGCUUACCAAGGCAACCAUGCGUAGCCGACCUGAGAGAGUGGUAGGCGACACGAGAACUGAGACACGGUCCAGACGCCUGAGGGAGGCAGCAGUAGGGAAUGUGCCGCAAUGGGCGAAAGCAUGACGGAGCAGGGGCGCGUGAGUGAUGAAGGUGUUCGGAGCGUAAAAAUCUGUUAUGAGGGAAGAACAAAUGUGGAAGGAAAUAAGCACGGCUUGACGGUAACUAAUCAGAAAGCAACGGCUAACUACGUG